RNAcentral lists this small RNA (37 nucleotides) under Pseudomonas putida KT2440. RNAcentral describes it as "P32 ncRNA". Lineage: Bacteria; Pseudomonadati; Pseudomonadota; Gammaproteobacteria; Pseudomonadales; Pseudomonadaceae. The record is from RNAcentral.
AAAACACACUUUUCUGUAAGCUACAGCUUUAGUGUGU